GUCACUACACAAUUCCCCUCGGGCCUGGCUACACAUCUCUCUUAUCCCCCACCUCUCCUUCUCCAACUCCGGCCGCCGCCACGGCCAGGCCGGCGUGGUGGUGCGCCUCCGCAGCCCAUCCAUCCACCAGCACCACCAUCACACGACCACUCCACAACCAGCGCCACCCAACCACCCAUCCUCGCCAUCUCCAUCACCCGCCGCUGCAUCAUCACCAAUCAGCCACCGCCGCGCCAUCACCAGCACCUCCAUACACCACCAUCCAUCAGCGCCACCAUCUGCAGCUACCGCUGCAUCUCGCGUGCUCGACCAGACAAGAGGGUCACGGGCAUCUGGUCCUCCGUGUUAGCGCCCCCGUGUUGUUGAUGUUCUUCUCCUUUCCCCCUUGCUGCUUCUUCCCUUCACGCUGAUGCUGCUGCCUUCCUUGCACCCCCUUGCUGCUACUACGAUCUGAACCCUCCUUGCUUUUGCUCUUCCCUCGUCCCAGCCUGCUGCUCUCUCAAUCUCUGCUGCUGCUAUUCUCUAAGCCCCCCACGCUGCUGGCGUUCCUCUUCUUUCCCACGUCUAUGCUGCUUUCUUCUCCCCAAAACUGCUGCUGUACCUUCUCCCUAAUUCCCCUCUUCUCCUAACCUUGUUGCUGUACUUUUCUGAACCCCUACUACUGUUGUUUCCCUCAUUAUCUUUCUCUGAAUUUUCUGUAAGCUGAGAUGUGUAAUGCUUUGUAAUGUUCAGAUUUGAGUAGUGCUUGACACUUGUUCAGUUUCAGACUUGUCCUUGAUUAAUAGUACUUGUGUUGUUCAUCUCAGAGUACUAGAAUUAUGUCUUGUAACCUCCCCCUAUUUGCAUAUGUGUGAUGUGUGUUCUGUAGUGUUUUUGUUAACUUUGUUCAUGUGAAAACAUAUAUGUUUGUGUUGUGAUAUAUUUUUGUCCCUAUCAUAUUAGCUUGUUUCUUUCCUUCUGUCAUUGCUAGUUAUAUAUGUGUGAGUGUUUGUGUUGUGAGAGUUGUACUGUUACAUUGUGAUUCUCAUUUAAAAUGUAAGAGUACUAGCUAUAUACUCCCUCCAUUCCUAAAUAUAGGGUGUAUAGUUUUUGGCACGGAAUUAAAGAACGCACGUGGAGGGAAAAUUUCACAAGUUCUGGGCGAGAUUACACCUGACUAAUUGACAUGAAUAAAAAGAGAAAUGUAAUCAAAUCCCUAAAAAAUUAAUCCAAACGAGUGGUGCAACGCAAUGCACCUUAUAUUUCGGAUUUUUUCUCAGAAAUCUAUACACCUUAUAUCAAGGAACGGAGGGAGUAUGUCAUAUAUAUUCUAUUCAUGUAUGAUAGUUAUGUGUUCUUGUCUAGUAGGUUUCCCUAAUAUUGAUUCUCGUUUGUGUUAGUGUUUUAAUCCCUCAAGCCUAAUAAAAAUACCAAAAAGACAAUGAGUAAAAUCUGAAUUUCCCCUUGCUGUUUACCCUUUCUUUGUCGUCAACCUUAGCUAGUUUAGGUUAUUAUUUUCUUGGAAUCCUCUCUUAAAAUUUUGUCACCUAGCUUUAGCUGAGCAUUGCUGCUGUCGCCUAGUCCCUGUGGAGAACACGACAUCCGUAGUUUGGGGCGUAAAAAACCCUGCUAUAUUACAACUGAUCAUUUUGGCGCCGUUGUCGAGGACCAGCGUCGAGCGUUUGUGUGAGGCUUUAGACUAGGUUUAGCUUGUUUCCUUUUUGUGCUUUAUAUAUUUGUGAUAUAUCUCUAGCCACUAACCCCUGUUCUAGUUAGUAUCUUUUUGUCUUCUUUUCCUUUUUGCAGGUUGGAUUAUCCUCUCGGUUAUGGCUUACUAUUCAGAUCAUCAUGCUUAUGCGAGCAACACUACAAACAGCACGGAAAGUGUUCAAGAACUGAUAGGUAAGAUUUCCCAUCGAUUAGAUGAUUUAGCUCGGCAGCGAGAAGGAGUUUUUGAGGAUAGGCCUAGUUCUUACGAUCCUUAUUCCAGUGGCCAUCCUUAUGUUGCUCCUACUUGCCAUAUUUGUGGAUUUCAGGGCCAUUCACCCGCUGAAUGUCAGUGUGGCUACUCUCACACUCCGGAUUGUUUUGGCAUGAGCUUCGCUCAAGAGCAUAGCUCAUACCAAAACAAUUACUCACAUGGGUGGCCUGAAAUCCCGAAUAUGUCAUAUAGGAGCAACAACCCUGAGAUCUCACAGUUUGGUUCUAGUAAUCAUAUGCAGGGAUUUAGGUACAAUGAGGAGAGCCACAACUAUGCACCACAACAAUUCCAUUCAGCUCCUACUCAUAUACCACAGCACCAGGAGAUGUGUCCAAUGGAGUUAAAUGGUCCUCCAUUUGGUCAACCAACAACUCCAGCACCUGUUGUGCAAUCUCAUGUGCAAGUGCCCACACAAGAUGAGUUCGAUGACAUAGACAAGCUCACACUUUUGAGUCUCGAGUUCACUUGGAGUGCCGAGGAUGAUCCUAUUAGGAAGGUGAUACUUGAGGAAAUGAAGAAGAUUAAGAGUGGAAAAGAGCUAGUGGAAGAAGUAAGGAAGAUUGAGAAGAACAUCAACGCUGGCAGCACUAUUUCUUCACAGCUAGAGCUGAGUGUUGCUGAGAUAUCCAUUGAUACAUGUGAGGUACCAACACCUUCACAUUCAGCUGAGCAAGAUAGCGAGAGUCCAGAGGAAGAGAUACUUCAGAUCCAAGAAGAAAUUCUCGAAGCCAAGGCACAAGAUGAUCUAGAGCUCGAACAACAAAGUGAUCAAGUUGAAGACUCAUCAUCUACUACUCCUGAAGAAGUACAAGAAGCUGUUGUAGAUGAAGAUGAAGAACAUGAGAUUCAUUUGCCUAUUGUCAUACCAGAGCGUGAUGUGUCAGGUUUACUCAAUCCUCUUGAUGACAUUAUGCCUUGUGAUUUCUUUGCUACUACCUUGCAUUACAUGAUACCAUCACUUAAGAUUGAUUUGAAAACUCAUUUGCUUGGAUAUGAUGAUAUAUACCCUGUUAGUGGCAUUACUCUCAUUUGUGAUGACCAUAGUUACUUUCCUCGCGCUAAUCCUAUGCUUAAUGAAACAUAUCACUCCCAUGCUAGUCUUGAGCUUAAUGAUAAAUAUCAUCCUCAUGUUAGUGUUGACCUUGCUGAUUUCUACCAUCCUAAACAUGUGCUUUAUAGCUAUGCUUAUGUAAUUGGAUACUCUAUCGAUGACUAAGAGGGCAUUCUCUCUGUCACUUGUAUUGGCUUGGUUGUUGAGUGUUCUUUCAGGUUGAUGCUUGUGUACCAUUUACUACGAGUUGACCGAGUUCGAGAUGACAUUCCCUGGGAUCCUGGUGGACUCAGAGCAUGGGGAUGAGGAGAAGCAAGGGGGCACACACGAGGAAGGGAGAAGCUGGAGUAGGCAUGAGGAUAGAGAAGCAAAAGGAGAGGAGCUGCAGUUGGUGAGGUGAUCGAGCGAGUGCUACUUCCUAUGAAAACCCGGUGAGCUGUUUCAUGACCCAUUCCUAGUAUAUCAUCCAUUGAUACAUGCUGAAAUCAAAUGUUAUUUGGGUUGCUUAAGCCAUGUCUUAAAUGUUGCCCCACUGAAUUUUACUUGAAAUAUGGUGCUUGAUGAGAAUAUGUGAACUGAGCGUUGAAUGCCUGGUAAACUAGUGAUCUAUACAAUGCUUGCUUUGCUGAAAGUAGUGGAAGUUAUUAGUUUUGAGUGCUCAAAUCCCUAGUAUACUAGAAAACUUAAUCAUUUUCUGCUUUUACCUCGAUACACCUAGAUCACCACGUUUAGAUUCUGAAUUUGUGCUAAGUGUGUUCCCAUUGAGAGCAAUCACCUAACCACUAUGGAUUAGCAUGCUAUGUUCCCUGGAUCGGUAGCAUGUGAACCAGACAUGGAGAAGUGAUGAUUCCUGUUUUUGUGCUUAUGUGUUGUUCAUUUAAGAUAAGUAAUAUUGAAUAAAUAAGUCUGACUACCUACAGUAGCAUGUCAUGUUCCCGGGAUCGGUGGCAUGUGAAAUCGGGUUAGCUUGGGCAGUAAUUAAUAAUAAAAAAAUGUAAUUGUCGAACCAGGUGUAUACCAUGUUCUCGGGAUCGGUGGUAUGUUCCUUUGGGGAGACAAACAAAAAAACUAAUAAUUGGUCGAGCCAGGUGUAUACCAUGUUCUCGGGAUCGGUGGUAUGUUCCUAUGGUGAGACUAAUAAUAAUAUAAUCAUUGCUUUAUCUCUGUAAAUAAGUGAUUUGAUCACAAGAUUUAAUUCCAGUUCAUUUUGUUCUUGGGAUCAUGCUCUCUUUAGGAACCAUUUGGCGCAGUCAUCAUUUAAACUUGUUGAUCCUCUUUUAUCUCUGUAAAAGUUUAAAAUGGUCAUGCUUACUAGUAUCCUACUGCUUUGUAGCACUCCUAACCAUUAAUUUUCACUAGCUAAGUCUGAAGCAUGCCUUGUUUGGAGAUCUAUUUUACCAGGACAUUCCUUACUCAGUUUACUGUUCAUUAUCUUGCCUUUAUCAUAUUCCUUUGCUUGAGGACAAGCAAAGAUUUAAGUGUGGGGGAACUUGAUAAGUGCAUUUCAUAUAUAUAAUUUGGCACUCAAAUUUAGCAUCUAUCGUGAUAUAUCCAUCCAUUCUUGCUAUGAGUUGUGAUAUAUUUGAAUGAAAAUCAUAUAAAAGAUCAUUUACUUGUCAUUUGUUUCUUUUGCAGAAAAGUGCGCAAGGCACUAUAAUCGUCAAGAUUUUUACUAUGUGGCUAACGAGACGAGAGAAGGGCUUGUGUGUGACGACAAGAAGUAACCAAAGGGGCUAACUAUAGAAGAGAGGGGAUCUACUUGGGAAGGAAGAAGAUAGUAGGAGGGCCCAUGUGCAAACAUCAAAAUCUGCUGUGAGGGGAUCAAACUCCCUAGGUCACUACACAAUUCCCCUCGGGCCUGGCUACACAUCUCUCUUCUCCCCCACCUCUCCUUCUCCAACUCCGGCCGCCGCCACGUCCAGGCCAGCGUGGUGGUGCGCCUUCGCAGCACAUCCAUCCACCAGCACCACCAUCACACGACCACUCCACAACCAGCGCCACCCAGCCACCCAUGCUCACCAUCUCCAUCACCCGCCGCUGCAUCAUCACCAAUCAGCCACUGCUGCACCAUCACCAGCACCUCCAUACACCACCAUCCAUCAGCGCCACCAUCUACAGCUACCGCUGCAUCUCGCGUGCUCGACCAGACAAGAGGGUCACGGGCAUCUGGUCCUCCGCGUUAGCGCCCCCGUGAUGUUGAUGUUCUUCUCCUUUCCCCCCUGCUGCUUCUUCCCUUCACGCUGCUGCUGCUGCCUUCCUUGCACCCCCUUGCUGCUGCUACGAUCUGAACCCUCCUUGCUUUUGCUCUUCCCUCGUCCUAGCCUGCUGCUCUCUCAAUCUCUGCUGCUGCUAUUCUCUAAGCCCCCCACGCUGCUGCUGUUCCUCUUCUUUCCCACGUCUCUCCUGCUUUCUUCUCCCCAAAACUGCUGCUAUACCUUCUCCCUAAUUCCCCUCUUCUCCUAACCUCGUUGUUGUACUUUUCUGAACCCCUACUACUCCUGUUUCCCUCAUUAUCUUUCUCUGAAUUUUCUGUAAGCUGAGAUGUGUAAUGCUUUGUAAUGUUCAGAUUUGAGUAGUGCUUGACACUUGUUCAGUUUCAGACUUGUCCUUGAUUAAUAGUACUUGUGUUGUUCAUCUCAGAGUACUAGAAUUAUGUCUUGUAACCUCCCCCUGUUUGCAUAUGUGUGAUGUGUGUUCUGUAGUGUUUUUGUUAACUUUGUUCAUGUGAAAACAUAUAUGUUUGUGUUGUGAUAUAUUUUUGUCCCUAUCAUAUUAGCUUGUUUCUUUCCUUCUGUCAUUGCUAGUUAUAUAUGUGUGAGUGUUUGUGUUGUGAGAGUUGUACUGUUACAUUGUGAUUCUCAUUUAAAAUGUAAGAGUACUAGCUAUAUAUGUCAUAUAUAUUCUGUUCAUGUAUGAUAGUUAUAUGUGUUCUUG
Molecule: long non-coding RNA, 5945 nt
Filed under: Triticum aestivum (bread wheat)
Lineage: Eukaryota; Viridiplantae; Streptophyta; Magnoliopsida; Poales; Poaceae
Description: long non-coding RNA (TAES_LNC003673)
Source: RNAcentral